This 432-nucleotide ribosomal RNA is filed under the name uncultured Alphaproteobacteria bacterium. RNAcentral's name for it is "bacterial SSU rRNA". It matches the Rfam family "Bacterial small subunit ribosomal RNA", at positions 1 to 480 of the family's 1533-position model. The record is from RNAcentral. Lineage: Bacteria; Pseudomonadati; Pseudomonadota; Alphaproteobacteria.
GCCCUUAGAGUUUGAUCCUGGCUCAGAACGAACGCUGGCGGCAGGCUUAACACAUGCAAGUCGAGCGAAGCCUUCGGGCUUAGCGGCGGACGGGUGAGUAACGCGUGGGAACGUGCCCCUUGGUACGGAAUAGUCCCUGGAAACGGGGUUUAAUACCGUAUGAGCUCUUCGGAGGAAAGAUUUAUCGCCAAGGGAUCGGCCCGCGUUGGAUUAGGUAGUUGGUGGGGUAAUGGCCUACCAAGCCGACGAUCCAUAGCUGUUUUGAGAGGAUGAUCAGCCACACUGGGACUGAGACACGGCCCAGACUCCUACGGGAGGCAGCAGUGGGGAAUCUUAGACAAUGGGGGAAACCCUGAUCUAGCCAUGCCGCGUGAUCGAUGAAGGCCUUAGGGUUGUAAAGAUCUUUCGCUGGGGAAGAUAAUGACGGUACCC